This 253-nucleotide ribosomal RNA is filed under the name uncultured bacterium. RNAcentral's name for it is "partial 16S ribosomal RNA". It matches the Rfam family "Bacterial small subunit ribosomal RNA", at positions 524 to 776 of the family's 1533-position model. The record is from RNAcentral.
UACGGGGGGUGCAAACGUUGCUCGGAAUCAUUGGGCGUAAAGCGCACGUAGGCGGUCUGUUAUGUCGGAUGUGAAAGCCCUUGGCUCAACUGAGGAAGUGCAUCCGAAACUGGCAGGCUAGAGUACUAAAGAGGAUCGCGGAAUUCCCGGUGUAGAGGUGAAAUUCGUAGAUAUCGGGAGGAACACCGGUGGCGAAGGCGGCGAUCUGGGUAGAUACUGACGCUGAGGUGCGAAAGCGUGGGGAGCAAACAGG